Molecule: ribosomal RNA, 347 nt
Filed under: uncultured bacterium
Lineage: Bacteria
Description: partial 16S ribosomal RNA
Rfam family: Bacterial small subunit ribosomal RNA
Source: RNAcentral
CCUACGGGUGGCAGCAGUGAGGAAUAUUGGUCAAUGGACGAGAGUCUGAACCAGCAAAGUAGCGUGAAGGAUGAAUGCCCUAUGGGUUGUAAACUCAGGUUAUAUGGGAAUAAAACGUGACACGUGUGGGAUUUUGUAUGUACCAUAUGAAUAAGGAUCGGCUAACUCCGUGCCAGCAGCCGCGGUAAUACGGAGGAGCCGAGCUUUAUCCGGAGUUAUUGGGUUUAAAGGGAGCGUAGGUGGAUUGUUAAGUCAGUGGUGAAAGUUUGCGGCUCAACCGUAAAAUUGCCGUUGAAACUGGCAGUCUUGAGUACAGUAGAGGUAGGCGGAAUUCGUUGUGUAGCGGU